RNAcentral lists this ribosomal RNA (87 nucleotides) under uncultured bacterium. RNAcentral describes it as "partial 16S ribosomal RNA". The record is from RNAcentral.
CACAUCAUGGAAGUCACUUGUAGCCGAAGUGCGCGCGCCAACCCGCAAGGGAAGCAGCGCCCUACGCUAUGAGCGGUAACUGGGAUG